This is a long non-coding RNA of Osmia bicornis bicornis, 1517 nucleotides long. RefSeq lists it as uncharacterized. Lineage: Eukaryota; Metazoa; Arthropoda; Insecta; Hymenoptera; Megachilidae. The transcript is spliced from 3 exons. The record is from RefSeq and is a predicted model, not a curated record.
CUCAUGGUGUAACCGGAGAGGAUGCAACCGAGUGGGAUACCCAGCGCCGUGGCGGUAGCUGUGGAUUAAUCACGAUUCAAUUUUAAGAUGUAAAAGGUAUGCUGACGAGGCAGAGAGGAAGAUCGACGUCGCCGAACACUGACCUCCCUCUACUACUCGGCUGUGUCCUUGGCCUUGAAACCAGAACGUGUUUCGGGAGAUGAAAUCCAACCAGCAGCACAGGUGGAACGAUAAUUGCUUGGCCGUCAUAGCGAACGUAAGCCUUGCCUUUACUUUCGCUCCAUUACGGAAUCGGAGAACGCCCGAGUGAAGAGCAAUCCUGCGCGUUAGGUAAGCUGAAACAUUCUUUCCUUCUUUUGCCAUAAUCGCUCGAAUGAAAUUACCUAGGUAAAAGUGAGGAAUUUCUUUAUCUUCCUUCCGUCAAUUUUCAAAAAUUCUUCUUUCUUCGUUAAAAAGAUAGUCUUUAAAAGGUCUCUACUUAAGUAGGCAUAUAAAAACUUUGUAGGGUGAGUGGUGGUUCAGCUUAUGGUACAACUUCAACCCCCACGAUUGGUAAUAAUUAAAUAUAGUCUGGAAAUUAAAAUUGUUUCUUCUCAAUUUUUAAAUUUUAUUCGACCUGUGAACCAUAAAAUACUAUAAUCUUGUAUGAAUAGACAAGUGAACUAAUUGAAGCGCAUUUAGUAGACAAAUUUAAUUGCAUUUAAAAUAUUUUUAAUAAUCGAAGAUUUUAUCAGAGAUGAACAAUAUAGAGGGUUCAAUAUAUUUGUUCUCUGAUCAAGAUAUAUUAUUAAUGCCUUUUUUUUAAUAAAUAUGAAUUCGUUUAAACAAAUGCAUAACAUAGCUAUGAAACUAACUAAAAAAUACUGACUUUAAGUAUAUACGAGAAGAAACAACUUUUCUUCAUCAAUUAAUAGUGGUCAUUUACAGUAUUACUGAUGGUGUGCAGACGAUAAUUAUAUUUUAAUUGCAAAAUUAAGUUGCCUGAAAGAGUAGUUUCAAAUUCUACCAUUACACCAUCUGUUCAAAAACGCCGGAAACUAUUCGAUAACUUACCGAUUGAUUAUGCAAAAUAAGGAGAACUGGUGGCGCUACCUGUUAAAAGGUGGUAGUAGCAGUUUACUGAGUUAUCGAUCGAACGCCCGGCAGUCGGUAGAUCUGCACCCCUCGGCGGUCGCUGUAAGAGUGACUAGUUUUUAUCUCACUCUAGGUCGAACUGUUUCCCCUCUGCCGGGACCGGCCACGUUUACUGGAAUGUUUUUUUUUUUUAACGUGGGGAAAUCUUGCAUAAGACCCCCCACCAUCCCCUGGGGGAGGGUGGCGGAGGAAUGUCAGAUUCUUACUGACUAAAACCCCACGGCGACCAGCACUGGCGCUAAAGAAGGGAUAAUUAGUAUCUGAAUAAUAAGUCUCUACUUACUGCUCCCGUCGUUCCACCAGCACAUGAGAACUCAUUAUUCUUUUUAUUAUACAUUAUACGAAACGAUGUUUAAGUAAUAAAAAAAAAAGAUAAUGUUCAA